RNAcentral lists this ribosomal RNA (253 nucleotides) under uncultured bacterium. RNAcentral's name for it is "partial 16S ribosomal RNA". It matches the Rfam family "Bacterial small subunit ribosomal RNA", at positions 524 to 776 of the family's 1533-position model. The record is from RNAcentral.
UACGAAGGGGGCUAGCGUUGCUCGGAAUUACUGGGCGUAAAGCGCACGUAGGCGGCUUCUUAAGUCGGAGGUGAAAUCCUGGAGCUCAACUCCAGAACUGCCUUCGAUACUGAAGAGCUCGAGUCCGGGAGAGGUGAGUGGAACUGCGAGUGUAGAGGUGAAAUUCGUAGAUAUUCGCAAGAACACCAGUGGCGAAGGCGGCUCACUGGCCCGGUACUGACGCUGAGGUGCGAAAGCGUGGGGAGCAAACAGG